CUCAGGACGAAACGCCGCUCAAGUACUUCCUCGUUAGUAUAGUGGAGCUUUCUCAAGUCACUUCUGGUGUGAGAGAAUUGGCCGUCUGCAAACACAUUGCUCAGAGGAUGCCCAAAUGUUUUACCAUCCUGUAGGAGGCUUCUCUCAUGUCCCAGCAUGAGAAACUGGAGCUGACAGAUUGGAGCUCACCCUGCUCCCCAAUUUGAACCGCCAACCUUUUGGUCAGCAGACCUGUCGGCACAAGGGUUUAAUUCAUUCCACCACCGGGGGCUCCUGAUGUAAAGCAAUGAAUUUGAAUGCCAACUGCAGGAAGCAGAUGGUAGCUGCUUGGUCCAAAAGAUCUGGGAACCACUGAACCUGACGGAAAUGAAGAAAGUCUGCUGCUGUAGUGGACAGUAACAAGAGAGGGAGCUCUUACCACAUUGCUUUCAGAAAGAGGGGAACUGCUGCUGCUGCUGCUGAGAGUGUCCAGUUUAUCAUAUUCAGACAACACACAACUGAAACUCAACCAUCCUAUGACUUUCAUGUGAGAAAUUGUUUUUUUAAUGGUACAAGCAACUAAGGAGAACCAGAUGACACUAAAAAUAUAAUAAGAUCUAGUGUGCUUUGAAGCUUCUCUCAACAGGGAGGCUUAUUUGUUUCUGUCUACCAUACUAUUGAUUUAUUUAUCUUGGUCAUCUUUAACUGUUUUCCAAAUAAGUCCCUUCUUGCCAUUCAAUCUAUAUAGGGUUUUCGCCAAGCUCUGAGUCAAUGCAUGUUGCCACUAAAGUGUGCCCCUUGUGGCUCCCUCAGGACUACAUGCAGCAGCAACAAUGAAAUUUGUGUUGCUGAAGGCUUUUAUGGCCAGAAUCACUGGGUUGCUGUGAAUUUUCAGGGCUAUAUGUCCAUGUUCCAGAAGCAUUCUCUCCUGACAUUUCAUCCACAUCUAUGGAAGGUGUCCUCAGAGGUUGUGAGGUGUGUUGGAAACUAGGAAAGAUGGGCAUCUGUGGAAUGUUUGAGAUGGGACAAAGAACUCUUGUUUGUUUGAGGCAAGUGUGAAUGUUGCAAUUGGCCUCCUUGAUUAAGCAUUGAAUGGCUAAUCAAGUUUCUUUCUCCCACUCUGGACAUUCCACAGAUAUAUAAACUUCACUUGCCUAGUUUCCAACAAAUCUCGCAACCUCUGAGGAUGCUUGCCAUAGAUGUGGGUGAAA
This is a long non-coding RNA of Anolis sagrei ordinatus, 1190 nucleotides long. RefSeq lists it as uncharacterized. The record is from RefSeq and is a predicted model, not a curated record. NCBI's taxonomy places the organism in Eukaryota, Metazoa, Chordata, Lepidosauria, Squamata, Anolidae.